UUAAAGAGACACUGUCCAAAAACCAAGUACAGGAUCUGGUAGAUUUUCUCUUCCAAAAUAGAAAACCUAAUCGGUUGCUUCUCCAAGCUUGGACCAUCCUUCACCGAUGUCAACAAUUAGAAAAGCCACUAUAGGAAGCCUGACACCCUUAAUAUUUAGCAUAAUGAAAGCUCAAAUGAGGCCAUAAAGAAAUCUAUCUAGCAUCAACGCAACAAACCUCGGGUUGCAGAAGACUCUCCACGAAGGAACAACUCUGCAUGUAAUAAACCACCACAGGGACAAUCUUCCGCUGGGUUCCCUCUCCAUGAAAGAAUGGGCAAGCAACCCAAAACAAAACUAAAAAACAACUAUUUGGGUAGGGAGGGAAGAAACCCCUGCCCGAAUGGGGCAAGGGACAGCCACUAACGGUAGAGAAAGGAGCUGGUCUCCUAGAUGAAAAGAAAGGAAAAAUGAGGGAACUUUCUCUCUCUAUUAUUUUAGAGAGAGAGAGUUAAUUAACUCAUAAGUUUCUUAGACCACUGACAAACACCGAAUCAAAUUUCUCCAUCUCAUGCUUCUUUAGAACUAAACCAACCUCAACUCCGCCACUCCCAUCUUUGCUCUCCGCUAUGGAAAUGGAUUCCUCCCUGUCUAUGGAUGUAAUUUCCACCUUCUUUGGCUUUCCCCACCCAAAAUCUGUCCCAUAAACCUCGAAUCGAGGUGACCCAGCAACCCCAAUGCCUAUUGCUGUAGCUCCUGGCCCCAUAACUUCCAAAUAGAUUGCAAGCCUUUCCUUCUCUCUUUCGCUUAUCACUCCUUUCUCUAACCCUUUUAUCCUCUCGCUAAGCUUCUCUGCAGCAAAGGCAACCCCAUCAUCUCCAAGAAGAGCUUCUGCGUCUGUAAAUAUAGGGAGGCCUUUGACACAGUUACCAAAAUAAUUGGGAGGUAUUGGAGGGUCCAAACGGGCUCUACAAUCUGCUGCGAAUGCAAAAACAAUCUUUGUCUUCCUUUCGGGCAUUCGCGCUUUCACGAUACAAACCAAAGUAUAAGCAAAUGAGAGAGCAAAAGUUGAAAAAUGCGUUGAUUUAAUUUGAUUCGAAUCUUCUUCAUGGAGGCCUUCCAAUUGAUAGAUUACCUUUCGCCUGAGUUUCUGUAUAUCUUCUCGAGAAAACUCGAACGUUGAUCGUACUGAGUUGGGUGGAACUCCUUUACCCUGAAAUAGCUUUAAACUCUUAGGAUUAAUGGUAUUCAAACCUGGCAAUUUGGCUUCCAACCAGUUGUUCAAGUAAAUCAUGGAAAGACCUUCUGGGUCCUGAAUGAGACUUCUAUCGAGAACCGGAAUUAGCUCAGGUAAUAAAGAUGGGUUGGUCUCUG
Molecule: unclassified non-coding RNA, 1353 nt
Filed under: Hevea brasiliensis (rubber tree)
Lineage: Eukaryota; Viridiplantae; Streptophyta; Magnoliopsida; Malpighiales; Euphorbiaceae
Source: RNAcentral